UGAUCAAAGGCCUGUUUGGCAUCCAGCAUGAAAAGAGGUGUUUACAUUAUCAGUGAAUCAGGCAUAACAACGUUCCCAUCACUCCUUUCAUUCAUCUGUCAAUAAGCACUGAUUAUACCCUUGUUAGGUGUGGGCAUUUAUGUCUGGGACACAAAGAUAUUUAACAUAUGGUUGACAACUCUGAGGAACUCUGUCUAGCUGAUCAUACAGACCAAGACUAAACAAAGCAAGACAAAUUAUUACAACACAAUGUAAUAAUGCUCACCUAGAAACACACACAAAGUGACAGUUAAGAGAAGAAGCAACUGACGACUCAAAAAAGGGGAAUUUGAAGGAAUUUGAAUCUAGUAAGCCAUGAGUCAGUGAAAAGAUAAACUGAAGCUAAGGUUGAAUAAGAAAUACAUUUUUAAAUUUGUAGAGCAGUGCCAGGUUAUAAAGGGCUGCAAACAUCAAGCAGAGUAUUUUACAUGUAGUAUAACAGUUUACAGGAUCCCUACAAGUUGUACUGUUGAAGUGAUUUAUUCCUGUUGUUUGUUUUGGAUUAGACCAGAAGCAACAGGCCCACAGGACCGGAAGAAUCAGGGAACCACAAGUGAGGAGUUAGGGCAUUGACUAGGAGAACAGAUGUGAAGUGAAGAAAUGAGCUGCUGGAAUAGCUGUGGUGGCUGAGAAAGAACAAACCCGAAAGUAGACCUGGCAAAAGAAGUGGAAACUUCGGGUCCUUCUCAGCUGAUUCUGUAUGUUAUAACAUCUGCUGAAGGUAGCUGGGUUGACACCUCAAUGCUACACAUUACUAGUCACUCAAAAUACCUUCUGGAUUAGGAGAAAAAAUAUAAGGCCAUCUUGAAGGUCAUAUCCUAGGAAGAUUUAUGCAAUGGAAGCCCAGCAGUGUACAAUAUGGGAAACAGAGAGUUGGCAGGAAGAGUUUCAAGGGCAAGCUUCAAAGAAUGCCCAUUAUAUUAUUCACUCUCCAUAAUUCUACCAGAAAUGCAAUCAGUGGUUACCUUUCUCCUAGUCUGUAGGGUUUGUGUUAUUCAUCUUUUUACUUGAGACUGUAUAUUUCGUGAGGACAAGAUCUACAUUUGAUUUGUCUUUAAAUACACUCAUGCUGAAUGAUUUAAUUAAGAAUCUCUGUAUUAUGGAGUGACAUUGCACCACAAAAUUCUGCCCAUAAAAGGUGAGUCAAAAAUCUUCAAAAGAAGCCGCACCUUCUGAUGUACAGAACAAAAAGAAGUUGUCACAGGAGAUAGCAGAUGCUGGAAAUCCUGAUACUCGCUCUGGGUGGUGUUGACUUCCUACUGAAGGACACAGAGAAAGCCAGAUGCAAGUCUGACAUGGCUAAUUGGGAGGUGUGUGGUCCUCUUGGAGCCUUUUCUUGAGAUGUGACAGAGUGCCUGCCAAGACUAAUCAAACCCAACUGCUACCCACUUCUGCUGAAUCAUAUGGGGCUGCAUUGCAGCAUCUGAAGGAACCUGGGAUUUAUCUCUCAUGAUGUUGAAGCCCUAGAUAGGAAAUGGAAAGUCUGGGAACACAGGUGGUGUUUUCAUUUCUCUCUGCAUUCGAAGGCUAUAACUUUGGAAAGGACGGAGGAAGGGAGAUGAAAGUAAAUGGUGUUAGAGAACAGGAUUUCUUUUUUCUAGAUCAAGGGUAACAAUACCUUGUUGUUGGGCCAAACACAAGAUUCAGGUUACUUAGACUUACUGGGCCAGAGGUGUUCUGACUCAAUCAAAAAGAAUUAAAACUGAAAUUAAUUUAAAAUUCAAAAAGAUGGUAUAGUAAACAAUUAUGACAUAGAUGGAAGAAUUAGUGGAGGGAUUUCUAGUAAUUCUAAGGAGAAAAACAAUAGAAAAGCAAUAAGGAAUUAGAGUCAAGUCCCCAGGUGUCCACACAACAAUGCAGUGAAUGUGAAUAAUUAAUGAGGAUAAAUUAAUAUUUAAACAUAGCCAUAAAUGUGCAUUCCGAAGAAUCAUGUAGAUCCAAUGCAAUGAAAGAUUCCUGGCUAGAAUAUAGCAUUGAGAAGAGAAGGGAAUAUUAUAGAAAGGAAGAUGCAUCAGACACAUACAAAAAUAUGAGACUUGAAAAGAUCAAUAGUUAAAGAAAUAAACCUAAGUAUUUGAAUUUAGGCUCAGAAACUGACUGCACAAAAAUAAAUUAAGAAUGUUCUAGUUUAAGAGAUUUUCAAAUAAAAAGGAACUGAGGAUUUUGAUUCUAUGACAAGGUCCAGAUAAGUCUGUGGAUGCCAGAGGCAAAUGCGGUCAUAAGCUGGGUGUCAUAUCUCAUGUCUCCUACGCUCUGCACUGGUAUGAUCUUAUCUGUAGUAUUUUGCCCAACUCUGGACACCGCAUUUAAGAGUGUCCCAGAAAAAUGUCUGAAGGAGUAUGAGCACUAGGAAUGAUGACAGGUUUAGAAACCAUGUUAUAUGGAAAACAGUUAAAGGAACUGUGGACAUUUAUUCCAAGGAACAACAAAAAAAAGUAACUUAGGAGCCACAUGAUGCUGCCUUGUCUAUGUGAAGGGCUGUCAUUAGGCUGGAGAAUUAGGACUUCGUGUGGUUGCAGAGGAAGGAACUCUAACCGGUGAUUGUGGGAUUCCAGAGAAACAGAUUUGGAUGAAUACAAAUAGGGCUUUCUAAGAGUGUCAGUGUCUUGUUAGUAGGGGGACCUCCUUGAUAUUAGGAAGUUACCCUGCAGAAGUGAGAGAACCACUCUGCAAAGGAAGAAAGCUGAAUCUCGAAGCCCCUUUUCAACUCUAUUAGCCUAUGUCCCUGUGACCAGAUAAGGGAAAUAAAGGAAGUAGAUGAAUUAAAACUAACUCCUAGGUGUGGGGGCUGCAUGCUUUGGAGGAGGUGGUAUUACUCACAAAGAGACAGGUAAAUGGGGAAGAGGAGCCUUUGGGAGGGUAGAUGGUGAGGCUGAGUUUGAGAAAAUGGCAGAUGCUCAAAUGGUUUCAAAAUUAUCAGUUUAAGUAGCUUUGAAUCCAGUUAACUUGGUUCUUUUCUUUGGAUUUGGCACUUAAAAGCCUCCCUGGUUAUGUUACUUAGUUUCAUGAGUUAUGAAGGUGAAGAGAAAGGAGCAGGAGAAAGCUAGUAUUUAAGAGUAAAAGCAGGAGUCAUUACUAGGCCAUAUAUAAUCCAAUUGAAAUUUCAGAGCAGGGUAGUUAUUAUUUUGUUCAUUUUGCAGAUGAAGAAAUUAAAGUUAGAGAAGUUACUAAUUUGUCUAAUUCAAAGUACCGGUAGGUAGAAAUAGGAUUCAAACCUAUUUCAUUUAAAAAAAUAAUAUCCUGUACAAAGGGAAUACAUAUGCAAGUCUAUCGGCAAACAAAUUUGAAUGUGUCACCAUUACCAGCAAAAUAAAUAAAAGUGUUUUAAUAGUAAGUAUACAAGUAUAAAGGAGAGCUCUUUGGACUUAGCAGAUGCACACAAAAUGCAUUUGGAACUACAUGAUAGGAAUCAUUCAAAUCAUGGAUUCUAAGUACUGAAAAACAGGAUGUAACUAAAACUUUUAGCAUAAUAGAAAUAAAAAAUAGAAUAUUUUACAGUCUACUGCUUUUUUUUAUAAAGGAAUAGAUAAGAACAGAAAAAAGACUUUCUGAUCAAGGAAAAGUAUGCUCAUUUUUAUUCCAUAAAAUAGUAAAUAUUCAUAUCCCCAAUUUGUAUAUUUAUAAAUUAAUAAACUGUCAUUUAUCUGAAUAAAGCUCAAAUGACUAGAUUUUGUUUUACGGUGAAGCAGACAUAUUUACUUAUGAAGAUGGCCU
RNAcentral lists this long non-coding RNA (3753 nucleotides) under Homo sapiens (human). Its description in RNAcentral is "HSALNT0306889". Lineage: Eukaryota; Metazoa; Chordata; Mammalia; Primates; Hominidae. The record is from RNAcentral.